Molecule: unclassified non-coding RNA, 283 nt
Filed under: Venturiaceae sp.
Lineage: Eukaryota; Fungi; Ascomycota; Dothideomycetes; Venturiales; Venturiaceae
Description: partial contains 5.8S ribosomal RNA, internal transcribed spacer 2, and large subunit ribosomal RNA
Rfam family: 5.8S ribosomal RNA (bases 1-71)
Source: RNAcentral
GUGAGUCAUCGAAUCUUUGAACGCAUAUUGCACCCUCUGGUAUUCCGGGGGGUACACCUGUUCGAGCGCCAUUUUAAACCCUCAAGCAUAGCUUGGUGUUGGGCAGGGUCCCGGGGGACCCGCCCGUAACUUGUAGGCGGUUACCGCCCGCGCCCUUAGCGUAGCAAGCUCACGCAUUCGCUCGGGGACGGCGUGUGACCAUGCCAAACCAACUCCUUCAAAGGUUUGGCCUCGGAUCAGGUGGGGAUACCCGCUGAACUUAAGCAUAUCAAUAAGCGGAGGA